UACGAAGGGUGCAAGCGUUACUCGGAAUUACUGGGCGUAAAGGGCGCGUAGGCGGCCUUCUAAGUCGGACGUGAAAUCCCUCGGCUUAACCGAGGAACUGCGUCCGAGACUGAAAGGCUUGAAUCCGGGAGAGGGAUGUGGAAUUCCAGGUGUAGCGGUGAAAUGCGUAGAUAUCUGGAGGAACACCGGUGGCGAAGGCGGCAUCCUGGACCGGCAUUGACGCUGAGGCGCGAAAGCUAGGGGAGCAAACGGG
RNAcentral lists this ribosomal RNA (253 nucleotides) under uncultured bacterium. RNAcentral describes it as "partial 16S ribosomal RNA". It matches the Rfam family "Bacterial small subunit ribosomal RNA", at positions 524 to 776 of the family's 1533-position model. The record is from RNAcentral.